AUGCAUUAUUAUCACUACUACAUGUGGAGGAGAAGAUUGCUUGCUGCCAUUAUUGUGUGUUUAGGGAUGUACUGGUACAAGAUUAAUGUCCGAAAAAGGAAGAGAAAAUCUAUAACUUAUGCUCCCAUGUUCGAACGAGAUGUUGAAAGGAUGUCACGCCUGAACCGUAUGUAUUAUGGAACUGAGGCUAAUUGCAUAAGUGAGCCGCGCAUGCGGAAAUUUGUUUUUCACAAAUUGUGUGCCAACCUGAGACGUCGUGGUCUACUGGUAGACACAUUCCAUGUAACUGUGGAGGAGCAAGUUGCCAUGUUCAUCCAUGUUGUGGGUCAUAACUGGAAAAAUAGAUCGAUUGGUUUCGAGUUUUAUCGAUCGGGCGAGACUGUUAGUAGGUACUUCAAUGCUGUUUUAGAUGCCCUGUGUCUCCUUGCUCGUGAUGUCAUAUGCAUCAGAACCAUCGAAACACAUUCGAAGAUAACAAGUAGCUCCAGAUUUCACCCUUACUUUGAGGGAUGCAUAGGAGCUCUGGAUGGUACUCAUAUACCGGCAUGUGUGCCAAUCCACAUGCAAGAUAGGUUUAGGGGUAGAAAGUCCUUUCCCACACAAAAUGUGCUAGCAGCCGUUGAUUUUGACCUAAGAUUUACAUAUGUUCUUGCUGGAUGGGAGGGAUCGGCUCAUGAUUCUUAUGUGCUCCAAGAUGCCCUAUCACGUCCCAAUGGCCUUAAAAUACCAGAAGGUAAAUAUUUCCUAGCGGAUGCGGGAUAUGCUGCAAGACCCGGUAUACUACCCCCAUAUCGUGGUGUCCGAUAUCACCUAAAGGAAUAUAGGGGAAGUAGAGAGCCUGAGAACCCAAGGGAGUUAUUCAGCCAUCGCCAUUCCUCACUUAGAACAACCGUCGAAAGAGCAUUUGGUACCUUGAAGAAUCGAUUUAAAAUAUUUGCAAGUCAGCCAUUCUUCCCUCUAAAAACACAAGUAAAAAUUGUGUUUGCUUGUUGUGCGCUCCAUAACUGGAUCCUAGAUGAUGGUCCUGAUGAGUAUGUCUAUGAUGAUGCUACUUGGUACUCGGCCCUUCCACGGAGUAGACGACACCGUCGUGACGUCUACCAGGAGAGCCAGGCAUGGGCACACAAAAGGGAUGUACUAGCUCAAAAAAUGUGGGAGGAUAAUUUAGCAGCUCAAGAUCAAGAUGAUUAA
This 1191-nucleotide ribosomal RNA is filed under the name Triticum aestivum (bread wheat). Its description in RNAcentral is "partial small subunit ribosomal RNA". The record is from RNAcentral. Lineage: Eukaryota; Viridiplantae; Streptophyta; Magnoliopsida; Poales; Poaceae.